RNAcentral lists this long non-coding RNA (362 nucleotides) under Panax ginseng (ginseng). RNAcentral's name for it is "long non-coding RNA (PGIN_LNC004667)". Lineage: Eukaryota; Viridiplantae; Streptophyta; Magnoliopsida; Apiales; Araliaceae. The record is from RNAcentral.
UUUCAGUAUUCGUAAGAAAUAAUAUUUUAUUCCAUACUUUGUAGUAUAUGAGUAAUAUUAUUUCGUUUCGUAUUCCUAAUUCUACACUCAUUAUGUUAAAGUAUUGCUUCUAUACUCCGUGAAAUUAGUAGAAUAUCCUUGAAAUUUGCGCUUUAUCUAGUAUCGUUUCACAAAGAUAUUUUUCUAACCAUUCAUGUUAAAUUUUAAGCUUUUUAUGCCGGAGUACUGUUCACGAAAUACUAUUCACAAAAUACUAUUCACGGGAUACUAUUCACAAAGUAUUAUUUACGGGGUACUAUUCAUAAAUACUAUUCACGGGGUAUUAUUCUCGGAGUACUUUUUUUGAAGUACUAUUCUCGGGU